RNAcentral lists this non-coding RNA (44 nucleotides) under Schistosoma margrebowiei. The record is from RNAcentral. Lineage: Eukaryota; Metazoa; Platyhelminthes; Trematoda; Strigeidida; Schistosomatidae.
AUCCAGCUGACGAGUACCAAAUUGGACGAAAUAUAGUCCUGGAU